UUCAUAAAGGCGGUAAAUAAUUCACCGUCUUUUUAAUUUUCACAACAGCGGUGAAUCAUUCACCGCCUUCUUGAAGAUUGUUUGUUAGGAUUUUUUAGUUUGUUAAGAUUAUAUGUAAUUUGUUGAAAUUUUUAUAUGGUUGUUAGGAUUAUAUAUAGGAAAUAAAAAAAGUGAGGUUGUUAGGGUUAUAUGUGGAUUGAUUGGUAAAAUUGUAUGGAUAAAUUAUUAGAAUUUUUUUGGUUCUUAAAAUUGUGUGUGGUUUGUUGAAAAUUUUAUGUGGUUGUUAGUAUUAUAUAGAAAAUAGAAAAAAAAAAAGGGGAGAAAGAUAGUGAAUGAUUCAUCGCUUUUGUAGGAAAUUAUAAAGUUGGUGAAUCAUUUA
Molecule: long non-coding RNA, 379 nt
Filed under: Ananas comosus (pineapple)
Lineage: Eukaryota; Viridiplantae; Streptophyta; Magnoliopsida; Poales; Bromeliaceae
Description: long non-coding RNA (ACOM_LNC013414)
Source: RNAcentral